AGUCUCGGGACCCAGACUUCCUGUUUCGGUGGACACCUCAGAGCUCAUUCAGACUGGUUUCUGAGAGCCCUGAGUUUCACCUGCAGGCGGUCUCGACACGUCCCGGUCCCUGAUUCUUGGAGGUCUAAACGGCUCCAGGAGAUGCAGGAAGUCAUGAAGAGGACCCGACCAGCGAUUACUACGACUACGCCUCGGUGACGCCGACGCCCGACUACGACUACACGGCGACCUUUGAUUAUUACUUUGUGACGGGACUGUACCCCUCGAAAGUCCAUAACAAGGCUGCAGGGAUUGGUCGGACCGGCCCGGUGCUCCUGCUGGGAUUGGCUGUUCAUCACAUAUGGAAUUGAAGGAGGCGGGGCCGGAGACCACCUGCAGACAGGCCCUGACCCCUGACCCCUGACCCCUGACCUCUGACCUCACACCACCUGAAGAGCCUGGAAUCAAACGUCAGCUGAUCGUCAACAACCUGCUGGUUUCUUAAAGUUUGAUGUUCCUGAAAUCAGCUGACUGAUGUCUGAUCAAUAACUCUGUUACCAUGACGACAAUGUUUUUAUUCUGUUGUAAAUAAUGUCACACACACACACACACACACACACACCACACCACACACACUGAACAGCUGACUGCUGUUUUCUUUAAAAUGUGUUUUUUCUAUAACAAACAGAAACUUGUGUUUGACCUUUGACCCUGAAGCUUCCCAGAGGUCAAAGGUUACAGAUGUACUUGAUGUGUUUCUCUUGUACAGACUGACUCAGUUUAAAGCUCCUGUGAGGGAGGGUCACUCUGUGUUGAGUUUGGCGCCCCCUGUGGUCACAGCGGUUCCUGCUCUGUGCUGAUCUUCUUCAUGUGGAAGUAGAUCAACUCUCAUCCUGCGGUCUGUCACAGUCAGGCUCCUCCCCCUCUGGGAGGAAGGUCAACAGACUGUUUCCUCAGAGCGCUCUCUGAUACGAGCUCUCAGUGUCAUCAGGCUUUAAAUGAAAACAGAGGAACCGUUGUCAUCGUCGUUGCUGAUGGUCUGUUUGCUUGGAGGGUCAUGAAGAGGCCUCAGUAUGAAGCUCGCUCACUCUGUUUAAAACUCCUCACUGGAGCUUUAAAGAAUCCACUUCCUGUAAACCUUCCUUUGUUUCUUCUGAAGUGGAUCCAAGGGAGUGAAACCCAGACCGUCAUCAUUCUCUGAUCACGUGACAGCGUUUACUCAGAAACACGCCUCACACAUGAAGAAGAGGAGAUCAGCAGAACGAGGUGAUUCGCUGCUUCGUCCACAGGGGGCGCCAACAUCAACACACACUGAGAGUUCCUCACUGGAGCUUUAAACUAAACUCCUGUUUCACACUCUGUCUGUUGAUCACUGAUCAGACCGACUGCAGAUCUCAUGGAAAUGAAACGUUAACAAAAUAAAAGUUGAUUUUAUUUUGUAAGGUU
This is a long non-coding RNA of Notolabrus celidotus (New Zealand spotty), 1425 nucleotides long. RefSeq lists it as uncharacterized. The transcript is spliced from 5 exons. The record is from RefSeq and is a predicted model, not a curated record. Lineage: Eukaryota; Metazoa; Chordata; Actinopteri; Labriformes; Labridae.